GGGUUGUAAAGUACUUUCAGCGGGGAGGAAGGGAGUAAAGUUAAUACCUUUGCUCAUUGACGUUACCCGCAGAAGAAGCACCGGCUAACUCCGUGCCAGCAGCCGCGGUAAUACGGAGGGUGCAAGCGCUAAUCGGAAUUACUGGGCGUAAAGCGCACGCAGGCGGUUUGUUAAGUCAGAUGUGAAAUCCCCGGGCUCAACCUGGGAACUGCAUCUGAUACUGGCAAGCUUGAGUCUCGUAGAGGGGGGUAGAAUUCCAGGUGUAGCGGUGAAAUGCGUAGAGAUCUGGAGGAAUACCGGUGGCGAAGGCGGCCCCCUGGACGAAGACUGACGCUCAGGUGCGAAAGCGUGGGGAGCAAACAGGAUUAGAUACCCUGGUAGUCCACGCCGUAAACGAUGUCGACUUGGAGGUUGUGCCCUUGAGGCGUGGCUUCCGGAGCUAACGCGUUAAGUCGACCGCCUGGGGAGUA
This 470-nucleotide ribosomal RNA is filed under the name uncultured bacterium. RNAcentral describes it as "bacterial SSU rRNA". It matches the Rfam family "Bacterial small subunit ribosomal RNA", at positions 420 to 882 of the family's 1533-position model. The record is from RNAcentral.